This 442-nucleotide ribosomal RNA is filed under the name uncultured Cryptanaerobacter sp. Its description in RNAcentral is "bacterial SSU rRNA". It matches the Rfam family "Bacterial small subunit ribosomal RNA", at positions 945 to 1382 of the family's 1533-position model. Lineage: Bacteria; Bacillati; Bacillota; Clostridia; Eubacteriales; Desulfotomaculaceae. The record is from RNAcentral.
UUUAAUUCGAUGCAACGCGAAGAACCUUACCAGGGCUUGACAUCCUCUGACCGCAUAUGAAAGUAUGCUUUCUGGCUUCGGUCAGACAGAGAGACAGGUGGUGCAUGGUUGUCGUCAGCUCGUGUCGUGAGAUGUUGGGUUAAGUCCCGCAACGAGCGCAACCCCUACGUUUAGUUGCUAACGUGUAACGAUGAGCACUCUAGGCGGACUGCCGUUGACAAAACGGAGGAAGGUGGGAUGACGUCAAAUCAUCAUGCCCCUUAUGUUCUGGGCUACACACGUGCUACAAUGGCCGGUACAAAGGGACGCAAAGCCGCGAGGUGGAGCAAAUCCGAUAAAAGCCGGUCUCAGUUCGGAUUGCAGGCUGCAAUUCGCCUGCAUGAAGUCGGAAUCGCUAGUAAUCGCAGGUCAGCAUACUGCGGUGAAUACGUUCCCGGGCCUU